ACGUGUUGUCUACAUGACAUGUGGUCCGACACGACGGGGUUAAAAACCCUGCAGCUCUUCGGGGAAACAUGGAUGAAUCACAGUCCAGCCAUAGCUGAGCCUGUUACUCCGUGACGUUUUUGUUGAAGUCGUAGGACAGCCGUCGCUUAGCUGCGGCAUUCUGAGCGUGCCGAUUGGCUGAGGGGAGGCCGGGGGAGAGGUGGCGAUUGGCGGCCCGGGAUGCAGUUCUGCUUUCCUGCAAAGACGAGAACGACGCGUAAGCGAUAUUAGACAAAGUGAACACCUGCUAAAAUGUAACUGGAUAAAGUGCUGAAGUGAUGCGUUCAGUCACCAAUGUUUUUUAGAAGUUAAAUUAGAUUAAAACUUCAGUGGCCUUCAGGUGUCUCUAGAGCACCGGUUUGUCCGUUCUGAGCUACUGUCGAAAAUUUGCGGUGAAACAAGAAGGACUUGAAGGUGUAUUCAACAACAAUUCUUAGUUUCAGCUGAUUAUUCACUGACAAAAACAUAGUUAGGAAGUUUACAUUCCAUUUCUGCUGAAAGAUCCCCUAAAUACUACACAGGGGACCGCUAAUUAUUUAAUCAACAAAAUAUAUCAUCGCAUAUAUUUGAUCAGCAAUAAAUCAUAAUUAAAUGAAGUUUCAAAAUAUGCCCUAAAUAUUGUAAAGCUGUGAUGGGCUUGAUCAAUCCACUUUAACACAGUAUUAUUAUGAAGUAGAACAUAUCCAAUGCAGUAAUUUUAGCCGAUUUACACAUUGAUUACGAAUAAAUUAUAAUAUGUUGAAAGAAAAGUCAUGAUUAAUAGAUAAAACAACAAAACGUGUUAGGAAGGAAACUGGAAGAGGUGUAUCUUCCCCUAUAAUGCUUCAUCAAAGAGAACUGUGAGACCAGCCGGCCUGGUGCACUCGUUAAUCCGCCGCUUGCAGGAGUGUUUUGCAUAGAAAAGCGGUCACUUCAUUUGAAUGGAGCCGCAGGUUUCAUCAGUCAAACUGCACCGUCCGGUCAUUUGACCAUCUACGAAGGCAAGUCCCGACCAAUUCUAUCUAACAACCUUGAAGCUUAACAGCCUCAAAACGGAACGCUAAGCACUCUGUGAUAAUCCCUCUGCAUGAAAUGUGUAUCCGUAGGAAGGGUGUUUGUGUGUGUGUGUGUGUGUGUGUGUGUGUGUGUGUGUGUGUGUGUGGAGAGAAAAAUCACUUCACAUAACAUUCAAUUUGCUGCGUUUUCUCACAGAAGGCUGAAAUGUCCGGAGCCAUUCCGGGGUCAGAGAUGAUACUCACAGAGCACGGCGGCUCCAGGUGUAGAGACCUCAGCAGCAGGUCACGAGACACGCCGCUCGCUCUCCUGUAUCUCUGGCAAAUCAUUUUGUUCAAGUCGUGGAAACCGUCCAACAGCCUGUGGGGUCAAAGAGAACAACGAUGAUGCAAUGGUUUAGUGGAUGUUGUUUUCCUGUCCCGGAGGGACAGAGGAUGUGAGAAAAACGUCAGACGAGAUCAGACAAAGUCGUCAUUCAGCGAGAGCUGAAUGACACACAAAUGCUGAAACACAAAUGCUCAUUAAUCAGGAAUGUUGUUCAGAACUUCAUUAUAACACUUUAUAAUUAUCAUAUAAUAUACGCUGUAUUUGAUAACCAGUCAUGCACAGCACAGUGCGUCUGUCUAUAGCCGUAUAUAUAAAUAAGUAUCCAUGUCCUAUUUUCAGAAAUGGUCUUCAGCGCUUCCUUUUACCAAUUCACCACUUUCACCACAUGGUGGUCGCAAUCCACAUAACUUUACACAACCUCAUUUCCAAAAUAAAUACACAUUUCAAACAAAACUCCAAAAG
Gasterosteus aculeatus aculeatus (three-spined stickleback) is the source of this 1821-nucleotide long non-coding RNA. The record is from Ensembl. Lineage: Eukaryota; Metazoa; Chordata; Actinopteri; Perciformes; Gasterosteidae.